Eucalyptus grandis is the source of this 1222-nucleotide RNA transcript. RefSeq lists it as uncharacterized. The transcript is spliced from 4 exons. NCBI's taxonomy places the organism in Eukaryota, Viridiplantae, Streptophyta, Magnoliopsida, Myrtales, Myrtaceae. The record is from RefSeq and is a predicted model, not a curated record.
UAUUUUUACUGUAGCAAAACGUCUUUUCCGCACCGCCGAGAGCCGCUCCCGCCGCCCCAAUGCGCCGCCGCCUCGACUGUGAUCACACUCGCCGCCACCGCGCUCCGCUCACAUGUGAGCGCCUAGACGGCGCCAUCAUCGGCCUGACCCUUGCUUACGCCGCUGUCCGCACGAUCGUCAAGUUCACCUCGAGCUCCUCCACUCUCCACAAGCUCCAAGACGCCCCCUCGGUCCGCGUUGCCACCUACGGUCCGUGCUCUCCCUCAAAGGCGGUCCGAUUCGGAGCCCGAUUCGUCGAGCCGGUCGGAACGAAGGAUCUCGUGAUCGUGCGUGGCCUCGUGGAGGCGAAAUCGGCUGUCGAAGGAGGGACGUGGAAGAGCUUGAGGCAGAAUGUGUUGGUCUCGCAGGACUGCGACAGUAGGGCGGUGAUCGUACAGAGGACUCAAACGAUGAGUGUGUGUACACGCACUCUUUUGGAUUAAAACAUGAAGAUGUGUACAAGGGGUAAAUGUAUGUCUCAUGAGCAGAUAUUCUAUCCGUGUGCUUUGCAUCAGUGUAAGCAAGCCAUGUCUUUUAUUGCCCACUUCAGUCAAUGGAUGUUUCGUCUUCUCUUUCAAUACCACAUCGAGGAGCCCUUGUGAAUUUGUGUAGUUAGUCUUGGAAAUGUCAUAGUCGUUACUACUUCCUUUUUGAAUGGUUGGUCUCAAUAUAAGUGGAUGUCAAGGCAAGGAGGAUUUCAUGAUUUGUGGGGAGGCUGCAUCGAUGACUUAACUGCAUCAUCUGGUAUAAGUGCAUUUGCUGGGCAUAUACAAUGAGUGGAAGGGGUUUUUCGGAUGGAGUUCAGAUCUAGGGGCUAUCUUGUCAGAUUAUUGUGGGAACAAAAAUCCUCAUCGCUAAGAAUGGUUCCUUUUGUAGUCAUUGAUGGCAGUCAGUGGCCAGUAGCAGAUUAUGUUGUUGUGAACAUGGAUGGCUCAAGGCUUCAUCUACCUCUUACCACAUUAUGUCACCAACUACAGCUGAUGAAUUCUUCUCUCCUUACACAUUCCUCCAGGCACUUUUUGGUCGUAAAUACCCUAUGGAAAAAGUGGAGGCAACGUAGACAGGAUGAGCAGGAGUAGCAGGAGCAACAGCAGUAGAGCCAUGCUGCAGUUGAUGAGCCCAACACUCUUGCGGAGGAUGAUCGGGAGAUGUACCAGAUGGAUUGUUACGUGUAAUUUGUCUA